Molecule: RNA transcript, 3251 nt
Organism: Microplitis demolitor
Lineage: Eukaryota; Metazoa; Arthropoda; Insecta; Hymenoptera; Braconidae
Exons: 4
Source: RefSeq, a predicted model, not a curated record
CAUUGUCCUAAAACUACACAUCGGUAACUAUAAAUAUCAUGUUAUGGUAACUGUGGAGACUAUACACACAGUCUACCGCACUCUACACUUCUUAUCGAAACUCACAUUUAUUGAUUUAUUCAUAUGUGUGCCACCAUAUUUGAUAUUUGAUGGACAUGAAAAUUAAGUCAUUGUGAUUUUAGCUGUUGUGACCUUCAAACAUAUAUCGUCUAAGUAGCCAUUUUGGAUAAAAAUAAUUGAUAUUUAACACGUGCAUUUAAUCGUGAAUUUUAUCGUACAUUGUAAAUGUAAUUGUCAUUUGGUUUUAAUCGGGCAAUUAUUAAAAUACUUCUAAUUCAAUAUCGUUUCAUAUUUUUGUUCCAUUUGCUUUAGAAUGUCAAGAAAAUACGAUACUUCCUGGGCAGGUAUCAUGAUUGAAAAAAAUACGAAAGUAGCGGUACCGGUGAAAGAUAUUCACAAGUUUCACCCGGAGAAAUACGACAAAAUGAAGUAUUAUUUUUUUAAUUAUGGCGAUUCAGUGUAGAAAGGUUUAAUCCUCGGAACUGAAGGUAUACGCUGGAAAUAAUCGAUGGAUCCCACAGAUAAUUUUUGACCAAUUAAUGGGAGCAACAAAACCAACUAUGUUUGUUAACCGAGCAGCUGAUUUCUUUUUUAGCAAAAAGACGCUUCUUGAAAGUUCCGUAACUGGUCAAACUUCCCAUUGAACUAAAAAUAAAAAUGAUGAAUCGCUUAAACAAUUAGAUGAAAAUAUUCUGCUUACCAUGUCAGGUUUGUUUAAACAUUACUUGAGUCAUUCUAUUUUUACGAAAUCAUUGAAAUCGUUCGAAAGAACUCAAGAGGUGGGAAAAAUGAGACAACAUAUAUCUAAAUAUAUUGGAAAUCUUAAAGAUAAAACAAAUAAUCCUAAAAAAAAGAAGCAGUCUAAAGAAAAAGUAAAUAAAGAUAUCAGAACAGAUGUAAAUGUUGAAGGAGAAGACUAUGAAAAAGGUGGAAACAAUGACAAUAUCGAAGAUGAUAAAAGUUAUGAAGAAGAAAAUGAGGUGGAUGAAGGAAUAAAAGAAAAAUAUCGGCAAUUUUUAUAUAAAGAAUCUGAAAGUGAUGACGGAAAUGACAAAAAUAAAUAAAAUAACAACUUUUACUCUGCUUCAAUAUUUAUAAAGGGCAUUAAUAAAUAAAGUUUUUACAUUGAUAAAUUUUGAUUACUCUUAGGUACUACCACUUUUUCAUUUGAUCUUCUUGAUAAUGUUUAAUUCUCUACAGAAAAUUCAGAUGUAUUGAAAGUCUUGUAUUUUAAAUCGUAUUUAAUGUUAUUCAAUCCUUCAUGAAUGAUUAAAUAUCAUUAAAAAGGAUCUAAGAGUAAAGACUUUCAAUACAUUUGAAUUCUCUGUGGAAAAUUAAAUAGAAUCAAGAAGAAUUCAAAUUUAGAAAUUGUCAAUACUUUUUAAUUCUCUGUAGAGAGUUCAGUAGUAUUAAAAGUCUUAUAUUUUAAAUCCAAUUCAAUACUAUUUAAUCCUUCAUGACGAAUUAAAUAGAAUAAAUAAUGCUGAAUUCUUUUUGAUUCUAGGCGGAGAACUAAAAAGUAUUGCCAAUUGCAAGUGUAAAUUCUUUUUAACACUUUUCAAUUCUCCAAGGAGGAUUGAAUAGAAUGAAAAGCUAAUAAUACUGAAUUCUUUUUAAUUCUAUUUAAUUCUCUGUGGAGAAUUGAAAAGGAUACGAUUGAUUUUUAAUUCUCAUUAAUCCUCUUUCUUAACGGGAGGAUUAAGAAGUAUUGAAAAUUCCUUAAUGUGAAUUCUCCUCAAUUCUAUUUAAUUCUCUGAAGAGAAUUGAAAAGUAUUGAAAAUUCCGUAAUAUGAAUUCUCCUCAAUUCUAUUUAAUUCUCUAAAGAGAAUUGAAAAGUAUUGAAAAUUCUAAAUAUGAAUUCUCCUUAGUUCUAUUUAAUUCUCUGAAGAGAAUUGAAAAGUAUUGAAAAAUUCCUUAAUGUGAAUUCUCCUCAAUUCUAUUUAAUUCUCUGAAGAGAAUUAAAAAGUAUUGAAAAUUCCUUAAUGUGAAUUCUCCUCAAUUCUAUUUCAUUCUCUGAAGAGAAUUGGAAAGUAUUGAAAAUUCCUUAAUGUGGAUUCUCCUCAAUUCUAUUUAAUUCUCUGAAGAGAAUUAAAAAGUAUUGAAAAUUUCUAAAUGUUACGUCCCAGCCUGCUCGUCAGAUGUCUCUGACUAUUUUUAAAUACUAAUUAUUAAGAGACCGAUCUGAGACCUAACUAAUUAUUUAAGAUGUAUAUUGAUAAUUUAGCAAGUUGCAUAAUUAAUAAGUUACUUUAUAUUAUAGGAUAUAAUAUAAUGUAAUAAUAUAGCAUAACAUAAUAAUAUAAAAUAAUAUGAUAUUAUUUAGAAUAUUUGAAACAUAUUGAUAAAGUUAUUUUUCUCUUAAUAUUUGUUAUGUACAAAUAAACGCUGACGCCUCGAGUAAAUCCUCGAGACGUGCAGCUGCACAAACAUCUAUUUUGUUCUAUGAUAACUUUGUUCAUAGAUAAGUGACUCAUUUGUUAAUAAUAAAAACGGAGAAAGCGUGAGAACAGAGAAUGGAUUAUUCGAGAAUAUUGCUUAUCACGAUCCACCCCUCUAUAUCGAACGAUGCGCGGGCCUGAUGCCCAAGCGCCUCGUAUUGAUAAGAGACUUACUCUAGUUUUCCUCGAUCAAGAGAAUUCAGUCUGAAAUAUAGAAUCAUAGAGAGCAGUCAGGCUCAAUACUAAAUACUAAACUUCUUUCUCACCCUUUCGAAGUUAUUGUUAGACGAACUUUAACAAUUUAUAAAUUGAUUCAAUUGUAUAUUUUCACAUUAUUGAAAUUAUUCUUUUACAAUUGAAUAAAUCGGAUUGAGAUAUAAAAUAAUAACCAGUUUAUUUCAACUACCGAAUGGUGGCUGUUCAACCCCUACUAAAUAAUUAUUUAUAAUUAUAUGUAAGUACUCAUUACGUCCAAUUCAAAUCGACCGCUCAACCACACCAGCGCCAAAACAUCAACCAGGACGUAACAACUUAUUAUAUAAUUAAAAUUGGUGGCAGCGACGGAUUCGAACAGCCCCCGAAUAGACUGGUAAAAUCUCAAAAAUCCGAAAAUUUUUUUUUACAAAAAUUAACAUCAAGUUCUCAAAGUGAAAUUGAGCAACACAAAAAAAAAUAUUACAAAUUUUUUUUUGUCGACAUCGGAAAUUUUUUUUUCCUAAAUAAAGAAAAAAAAAGAAGUAAAAUUGUGAAACA